CCUACGGGUGGCAGCAGUGGGGAAUAUUGCACAAUGGGCGAAAGCCUGAUGCAGCAACGCCGCGUGAAGGAAGAAGGCUUUCGGCUUGUAAACUUCUAUCAACAGGGACGAAAGAAAUGACGGUUCCUGAAUAAGACGCCUCGGCUAACUACGUGCCAGCAGCCGCGGUACUACGUAGGGGGCAAGCGUUAGCCGGAUUUACUGGGUGUAAAGGGUGAGUAGGCGGCAGGGUAAGUCAGAUGUGAAAGCCUUGGGCUUAACCCGAGGAUUGCAUUUGAAACUGUCAAGCUGGAGUACAGGAGAGGAAAGCGGAAUUCCUAGUGUAGCGGUGAAAUGCGUAGAUAUUAGGAGGAACACCAGUGGCGAAGGCGGCUUUCUGGACUGAAACUGACGCUGAGGCACGAAAGCGUGGGGAGCAAACAGGAUUAGAUACCCCAGUAGUC
Molecule: ribosomal RNA, 443 nt
Filed under: uncultured bacterium
Lineage: Bacteria
Description: partial 16S ribosomal RNA
Rfam family: Bacterial small subunit ribosomal RNA
Source: RNAcentral